This 425-nucleotide ribosomal RNA is filed under the name uncultured bacterium. RNAcentral's name for it is "partial 16S ribosomal RNA". It matches the Rfam family "Bacterial small subunit ribosomal RNA", at positions 354 to 796 of the family's 1533-position model. The record is from RNAcentral.
GUGGGGAAUAUUGGACAAUGGGCGCAAGCCUGAUCCAGCAAUGCCGCGUGGGUGAAGAAGGUCUUCGGAUCGUAAAGCCCUUUCGACAGGGACGACGAUGACGGUACCUGUAGAAGAAGCCCCGGCUAACUUCGUGCCAGCAGCCGCGGUAAUACGAAGGGGGCUAGCGUUACUCGGAAUUACUGGGCGUAAAGGGCGCGUAGGCGGCUCUGUUAGUCAGGCGUGAAAUUCCUGGGCUUAACCUGGGGACUGCGCUUGAUACUGCAGGGCUUGAGGCCGAGAGAGGGUGGUGGAAUUCCCAGUGUAGAGGUGAAAUUCGUAGAUAUUGGGAAGAACACCGGUGGCGAAGGCGACCACCUGGCUCGGUUCUGACGCUGAGGCGCGACAGCGUGGGGAGCAAACAGGAUUAGAUACCCGUGUAGUCC